UCUCCGUUGGUGAACCAGCGGAGGGAUCAUUACAGAGUUAUCUAACUCCCAAACCAUUGUGAACUUACCAUAUGUUGCCUCGGCAGAACCUACCCUGUAGCGGGCUGCCGGCGGACCUCUAAACUCUUGUUUUUAGUGUCUCUUCUGAGUUAAACAAACAAAUGAAUCAAAACUUUCAACAACGGAUCUCUUGGUUCUGGCAUCGAUGAAGAACGCAGC
Molecule: unclassified non-coding RNA, 219 nt
Filed under: uncultured fungus
Lineage: Eukaryota; Fungi
Description: sequence contains ITS1, 5.8S rRNA gene
Rfam family: 5.8S ribosomal RNA (bases 171-219)
Source: RNAcentral